RNAcentral lists this ribosomal RNA (293 nucleotides) under Haliotis tuberculata (green ormer). Its description in RNAcentral is "partial 28S ribosomal RNA". It matches the Rfam family "Eukaryotic large subunit ribosomal RNA", at positions 666 to 946 of the family's 3401-position model. Lineage: Eukaryota; Metazoa; Mollusca; Gastropoda; Lepetellida; Haliotidae. The record is from RNAcentral.
CCAAGAAGUCCAACAUGUGCGCGAGUCAUUGGGUCCUACGAAACCUAAAGGCGUAAUGAAGGUGAAGGCAGGUUCGGCCUGUCGAGGUGAGAUCCUCGUCCUCGGGCGGGGCGCAUCACCGGCCCGUCUGCAAAGGCGGAGCAAGAGCGCACACGUUGGGACCCGAAAGAUGGUGAACUAUGCCUGAGCAGGAUGAAGCCAGAGGAAACUCUGGUGGAAGUCCGUAGCGAUUCUGACGUGCAAAUCGAUCGUCGAACUUGGGUAUAGGGGCGAAAGACUAAUCGAACCAUCUA